GAGUUUGAUCCUGGCUCAGAAUCAACGCUGGCGGCGUGCCUAACGCAUGCAAGUCGAACGGGAUCCUGGCUUCAGUCAGGUGAGAGUGGCGGACGGGUGAGUAACGCGUGGGAACCUGCCCAGUGGUGGGGGAUAACUGCGGGAAACUGCAGCUAAUACCGCAUGAGCCCGAGAGGGGAAAGAUUUAUCGCCAUUGGAGGGGCCCGCGUUCGAUUAGGUAGUUGGUGGGGUAAAGGCCUACCAAGCCGACGAUCGAUAGCUGGUCUGAGAGGAUGAUCAGCCACACUGGGACUGAGAUACGGCCCAGACUCCUACGGGAGGCAGCAGUGGGGAAUAUUGGACAAUGGGGGCAACCCUGAUCCAGCAAUGCCGCGUGAGUGAUGAAGGCCUUC
Molecule: ribosomal RNA, 392 nt
Filed under: uncultured Alphaproteobacteria bacterium
Lineage: Bacteria; Pseudomonadati; Pseudomonadota; Alphaproteobacteria
Description: bacterial SSU rRNA
Rfam family: Bacterial small subunit ribosomal RNA
Source: RNAcentral